UGUGUGUGUGUGUGUGUGUGUGUGUGUGUGUGCGCGCACACACACACACACACACAUGUGCAAG
Non-coding RNA from Podarcis lilfordi (Lilford's wall lizard), 64 nucleotides. The record is from the annotation of a GenBank genome assembly. NCBI's taxonomy places the organism in Eukaryota, Metazoa, Chordata, Lepidosauria, Squamata, Lacertidae.